UUUACGUACUACAGUUUAGCUCAUACUUCAGAAAAAUUCUGGCAUUUUUCUAGAAUUCUUUCUAUUUAUAUUAAAUAUGAUGUUUUAUUUUAUACUUUCAUUCGUGUAAUCGACUAGUACGCGUGUAAUCGCGUUUUCCUCUAAAUAACAGUUGAACUGUUGUAAAGAUGGAAUUGGAAAUUCCUGACACGAUUCCUGUCUUUAGUCUAACCUAUAAGCGGUUUACGUAUUGCGGUCGACCGAGGAAGACGGUGUGACAGUUUCGUUGACUCCUUUGAAAGCUGUCUCAGAACUAUCCAAUAUCUUGCCAAGACUGGUUUCCAUUGUCGUACAUGAUUUGUCGGGUACACUCAAAGUCCUUUGGGAAAUCAGAAAUUUGUAUUCUUGCCGCCUACGUACGUAUGUCGAUCGCACUAUUGAAGUUAUACGGGAAAUGAAGAGAAAUGGAUAAGACUUCUUACGAAGUGACUAUGGAUAUAAAUAUGUAGGUACACAUGAGUUUUACCAUACAUAUAUGAUCAGGUUGUGAGAUUAACUAGGAGGGUUCAUUUUCUCAUGGAUCAACAAUAUAAAAGAGCCGUCUGAACGUUAAACUGAUGUCGUGACCCCGGCUGUAUACAUAUCGCUAGGAACUCUUGGGAAAUUGAGAAGUACUAAAAAUAAAGGAAUCCUAUUCAACACAGGCAUAACUAUGAAUAACAUACGUAACACGCGUGUGCCUGCCGAUCCUGAUAAGUUCAAUUCAAAAUAAGCCAGGAAACGGAAAUGGAUGAUAAGUCUAUUUUAUGAAGCCCUAGGGAUGCAAUUACACUUGCAGAUGCUCGAGACCUUUGGUUUCGGCCAACAGAUCAAUCUUCCAUACUAUUAGUAAGAGUCCAGCAUGUAUUCCAGACCGCAAGGAACACGAGCAAGUAAAUAGACACCGUAACGAUGCAAACAAGAUCGAGUGCAAAGAUAAUAAUUCAAACGUUAAUUGCCACGCUAAAUUGGUCUUACUUCGACGAUCUAUCAAACGAGUCUGAUUCAGAUCGGCACAGUGAAGACGGGCUUGGUUACCUCUACUAGCAAAUUUCCAAUCCUCUGCAUACGGACACGUGUGCAUACGUUCGUGUUGUACAAAAUUUCCUAGAAUUUAUUAUCAACUAUGUUAGUACGUACCAAAUAUGCAACGCGUUGCAUUUCCUGUAAAUACCAGUAAAAUUUAUAGUCAGCUACUUUAACCAUGUAUUAUAGGUAACGGCCAUGAAGUUCAUGUUUAAAUUUCGAUCCAGAAUUAGAUCAAACUGUUAUACAUACAUCGUACCCAUGUAAAGUUUAUUGUGUGUGCAGGACUAGGUAAAAUUUCUGUAGAAACUGUAAUAGCCUGAUGCAAUCUCUCUCUUUUUACAUUAUACGUAUAUGUAUAUGGAUAUCUACCUAUAGGGAACUUUUAUGCACGUGGCGUAUCACGUUUAAGAAACAGCGUUGCAGUCAGCGACAUUUAAGCACACAUUAUAGUGUUUGUUCUGUAGCUAAGCUGUAUAGCAAACCGCAGGACGUGGCAAACGAUCGACUCAAUUGAUUUUAUAUGUAAUAACCGCGGCGUGAGUACCUGUCUACUGCUGUAAGAGUGACGUUAAUCAUGAGAAUGUAGAAAAGUACUUAAUUCUGAUUAAACGUGCUAAAGAAGACAAGCUACAUGACAGUUCCAAUUCUCCAUAAAACAAGAUAGUACUUUUGGUUAAUGGUAUAUGUUAUAGACCCAAUAAUGUACUGCGUGUUAGAUUAUGUUCUUACCAAGAACACACGAAAUACCUAUCCCGGACAAAAUCAAUAAAUACGAGGUAUAUUAGCUUUGAGAAAAACUAUGUUUAAGUUAUUCGAUACUAGCUUAUGGUUUAAGACAGUUCGUAUAGGAGGCAU
This is a long non-coding RNA of Cephus cinctus (wheat stem sawfly), 1902 nucleotides long. RefSeq lists it as uncharacterized. NCBI's taxonomy places the organism in Eukaryota, Metazoa, Arthropoda, Insecta, Hymenoptera, Cephidae. The record is from RefSeq and is a predicted model, not a curated record. The transcript has 3 exons.